CACUUUUCCAAUUUUAAGGUUUCGUCGACCCCUACGAUAUGAGUAUUUUGUACGCGUAUCGUUUGGUCGACAAUGUACUCGAAUUUUGAUCCUGAUGGAAGAGGGUCGUCCUUUGAAAGUUGACUGUACGUUGUCAAAGGGUUUCUGCUUCCGGACUCAGUUCCCCAGGCGUAUGAAAUACUGUAGAGACGAAUCCCAAGUUGUUCGUCUUCGACUUGAGUGUCGAAGAGAAAGUG
This is a long non-coding RNA of Daphnia magna, 236 nucleotides long. RefSeq lists it as uncharacterized. The record is from RefSeq and is a predicted model, not a curated record. The transcript is spliced from 3 exons. NCBI's taxonomy places the organism in Eukaryota, Metazoa, Arthropoda, Branchiopoda, Diplostraca, Daphniidae.